Molecule: ribosomal RNA, 429 nt
Filed under: Bacteroidota bacterium
Lineage: Bacteria; Pseudomonadati; Bacteroidota
Description: Bacteroidetes bacterium partial 16S ribosomal RNA
Rfam family: Bacterial small subunit ribosomal RNA
Source: RNAcentral
UAGGGAAUCUUCGGCAAUGGGGGAAACCCUGACCGAGCAACGCCGCGUGAGUGAAGAAGGUUUUCGGAUCGUAAAGCUCUGUUGUUAAGGAAGAACGAGUGUGAGAAUGGAAAGUUCAUGCUGUGACGGUACUUAACCAGAAAGGGACGGCUAACUACGUGCCAGCAGCCGCGGUAAUACGUAGGUCCCGAGCGUUGUCCGGAUUUAUUGGGCGUAAAGCGAGCGCAGGCGGUUAGAAAAGUCUGAAGUGAAAGGCAGUGGCUCAACCAUUGUAGGCUUUGGAAACUGUUUAACUUGAGUGCAGAAGGGGAGAGUGGAAUUCCAUGUGUAACGGUGAAAUGCGUAGAUAUAUGGAGGAACACCGGUGGCGAAAGCGGCUCUCUGGUCUGUAACUGACGCUGAGGCUCGAAAGCGUGGGGAGCGAACAGG